Molecule: unclassified non-coding RNA, 1196 nt
Filed under: Hevea brasiliensis (rubber tree)
Lineage: Eukaryota; Viridiplantae; Streptophyta; Magnoliopsida; Malpighiales; Euphorbiaceae
Source: RNAcentral
GUUUUUUUUUUUUUGGAAAAAAAAAGUAAAAAAACCAUGGUGCAAGGAAAGGAGUGAUCAAAAUAAUGGGGCAGAAGACUGAUAUACAGGACUCAAUAAAAAUGACCUGAAGCCUAGAAGAAAUAAGGGCAAGCUUUACUUCAUCUUCAUCUGGCCCCUCAUCAUCAUCAUCAUCAUCUUUGUUCUUCUUGAUGCGGGUUGUACCACCCUCCUUGCCUAUGGGUAACUUCAUUGCUCCAAAAGGUGUGUCAACAUUAAUAUGUCCUUUUAUAGCAUAAUGAAUGCUUUUGCUUCUAAUAAUGUCCCAAAUUGCAGAGCCAAAGUCCUUAGGCCUGAAGGUGAUGGGAAUGUCAAUGUAACCAAUCCCUUUUUUGUCGACUUUUGUAGAUUUGGCUAUUUCUGCACCCCCGAUGCUCUCAUCAGAUAGCCAAACCUCACAGUCCAAUCCAUUGAGGCCCAAGUCAAAAUCAUUAGUGUUUUCUAACUUCAAAUGAAGCACAGCAACAGUUUCUUCAAAGGAAAACCUUUUAAGGUUUAUUUUCUCAAGAUCAAUAUCAGGCUUGUGAGGUAUUGGAAUCUCUCCAGUUUUCUCAAGGGGCAGAGUUAGCCUUCCAAAGAUUGGAAUAUCUACAAUGAAAUCAACCUUAAUCCUGUAAGGAAUGAUACUUCCAGGCCUAAUAUCAUGAUGUGUGCUUUUUAUAUCGUCAUAAAUCAAAUUAACUGGUAUUUUGAUAGUCUCCUUGCCAUGUGCGUGAAUAGUUCCAGCAUCUGGUAUUAAGCCUGAAACAAGUUUCCGUCCAUCACUCUCAAUUAAGUAGUUGAUGUCAAUUAGAGGGAUUGGAAUAAUGGUGGGGUUCUCAACAAGCACAUCAAAAACAAGAUUGGCCUCCUUUAGAUUUAUUGACGGGAUAUGAAACCCUGUAACUUUCGCAGUUGGCAUGCCAAAACCAAUAGCUCCCUUAAUCUUUACGACAAUGUAACGAAUGAAGUCCAUUACCUUUUCAAUAAAUCCAAGUAGCACGCCAAUAAAUCCACCCUUCUUUUCAUCCUUGUGAUCUUUUUUCUUAACAUCUCUAUCCACAACUUUCGGCUUAUCAGAAGAAGCCAUUCCUAAAAUGCUAGAGCGAUGGAAGUAGAUGAAAGGGAAAGCUUGAGAGUGUAGUGUGUGAAGGGGAGAAGAGUGAGAAAAAAGUGCC